This 311-nucleotide long non-coding RNA is filed under the name Salvia miltiorrhiza (redroot sage). RNAcentral describes it as "long non-coding RNA (SMIL_LNC012720)". Lineage: Eukaryota; Viridiplantae; Streptophyta; Magnoliopsida; Lamiales; Lamiaceae. The record is from RNAcentral.
CGAUGGAGGCAGCCGAAGAUUUGCAUAGAAAGAAGAUGGCUGACGAGCGAGGAGAGAAAGAUGCUGCUGCUGAUGAUCCUAUGCAAAGGCUAAAGCUGAGGUUUAUGAGCAGAAUGUUGGAGUCUAGGAAAUUCACAUUAUUAAUUAAAAUCAAUUUUUUAUUAUUUUUUUAAUUUGAAAAUUCAAAUAUUUUUAGAUUCAUGUUUUUCAUUGAGAUUGUAUUGUGGAUAAUUUUAAUUUUUUUAUUAAGAUUCAUGUUCUCAUUUACUUAUAUCUAAAUUAUAUUUUAAUAUGUAUAUUUAUUUAUUUAA